GAUGAACGCUGGCGGCGUGCUUAACACAUGCAAGUCGAACGAAGCACUUUAUUUGAUUUCCUUCGGGGCUGAUUAUUUUGUGACUGAGUGGCGGACGGGUGAGUAACGCGUGGGUAACCUGCCUUGUACAGGGGGAUAACAGUUGGAAACGGCUGCUAAUACCGCAUAAGCGCACAGCAUCGCAUGAUGCAGUGUGAAAACCUCCGGUGGUAUAAGAUGGACCCGCGUUGGAUUAGCUAGUUGGUGAGGUAACGGCCCACCAAGGCGACGAUCCAUAGCCGACCUGAGAGGGUGACCGGCCACAUUGGGACUGAGACACGGCCCAAACUCCUACGGGAGGCAGCAGUGGGGAAUAUUGCACAAUGGGCGAAAGCCUGAUGCAGCGACGCCGCGUGAGCGAAGAAGUAUUUCGGUAUGUAAAGCUCUAUCAGCAGGGAAGAUAAUGACGGUACCUGACGAAGAAGCACCGGCUAAAUACGUG
Molecule: ribosomal RNA, 481 nt
Filed under: uncultured bacterium
Lineage: Bacteria
Description: partial 16S ribosomal RNA
Rfam family: Bacterial small subunit ribosomal RNA
Source: RNAcentral